RNAcentral lists this unclassified non-coding RNA (329 nucleotides) under soil metagenome. Its description in RNAcentral is "partial contains 5.8S ribosomal RNA, internal transcribed spacer 2, and large subunit ribosomal RNA". The stretch from base 1 to 120 matches the Rfam family "5.8S ribosomal RNA", at positions 35 to 154 of the family's 154-position model. The record is from RNAcentral.
GAUGAAGAACGCAGCGAAAUGCGAUAAGUAGUGUGAAUUGCAGAAUUCAGUGAAUCAUCGAAUCUUUGAACGCACAUUGCGCCCCUUGGUAUCCCGAGGGGCAUGCCUGUUCGAGCGUCAUUUCACCACUCAAGCCUGGCUUGGUGUUGGGCGACGUCCCCUUUGGGGACGCGCCUCGAAACGCUCGGCGGCGUGGCACCGGCUUUAAGCGUAGCAGAAUCUUUCGCUUUGGAAGUCGGGGCUCCGUCUGCCGGAAGACCUACUCGCAAGGUUGACCUCGGAUCAGGCAGGGAUACCCGCUGAACUUAAGCAUAUCAAUAAGCGGAGGA